Molecule: long non-coding RNA, 461 nt
Organism: Passer domesticus (house sparrow)
Lineage: Eukaryota; Metazoa; Chordata; Aves; Passeriformes; Passeridae
Exons: 2
Source: RefSeq, a predicted model, not a curated record
CACUUCCAUGGCCUUCCUCCAUGGCUCCAAAAGGUUGAUGAUCUUUCAGUGCUGGGGGUCUGAGAGCUGGAUACAUCACUUCAGGUAAAGGGUGACCAAGCACUGGAACAGAUUGCCCAGAGAGGUUGUGGAGUCUUCUUCACUGGAGAUAUUCAAGAGCCACCUGGGCACAAUCCUGUGCCAUGUGCUCCAGAAUGACCCUGUCUGACCAGGGAGGUUGGACCAGACGACACACUGUGGUCCCUUCCAACAUGACCCAUUCUGCAAUUCUGUGAAGGCUUCUUCUUUACAGAGUUGUGAGAAAGACAGAACAUAGAGGAGCAAUGCCCAUACCUGACCAUAGUCUGUCCUGAAUACAACAACUCCUUCUGCACAGGAAUGAACAGUGCUGGGAUAAUGCUGAUUAUUUUCUCGCAGCCAGACCCGAGACCCCUGCAAUAAAAAAAAAAAAACAAAACAAA